Zonotrichia leucophrys gambelii is the source of this 1802-nucleotide long non-coding RNA. RefSeq lists it as uncharacterized. The record is from RefSeq and is a predicted model, not a curated record. NCBI's taxonomy places the organism in Eukaryota, Metazoa, Chordata, Aves, Passeriformes, Passerellidae. The transcript has 6 exons.
CUUAGAGAUAGGGCUCUGGUUUUGUGCUCUCUUUUGAGGUUUACCAGUUCUGAAGGUUGUGAGACUGAUUCUAGCUUAUUCUACACUAAAUCUCUACUGAUAUUAUGUGACUGACUCUUGUUUCAUUAAGGCAGUUCUGAGGCCAAUGGCUGGAACCACUAGUUAAGAUAAAAAUACUUGGAGAUAAAAAACUUACCACAAGCAGCUCAUCUUCACCUGAUCAAAUGAAAUACUUGACAUUGCCUUAUGGAUAUGUGAAACAAACCUAUGGCAUCUACUAUACAUGGGACACAAAUAAUGCUGGCAUCAGGGACAAGCAUAGAGCCAAAGGAAUGAAAAUUCAAGGAGCCUCAUGAAACAGAGGUGCUGGAUACCAGUACUGCCUGUGCUAGGACCACGCCUGGCUGCUCAGAAACAGGACUGCAAGUGCAUGGAGGAUGUCACAAAUCUGAGAUUCAGCAACCAAAGCCCUCAUUUGGAGGCUGUGUUGGCCAAGAAAAAAGCUCUAAGAUUCUAUUCCAACUUCUGACCAGCAUGUGUGAACAGACUCAGCAUCUGCUUUGAAGACUAAACCAUUUUCUAGCUGCAUAUUUUAAAAGGGCUUUCCAGAAGUGGAAGUGUGAUUACCUAGGACUAUGUACUGCAAGCAAAUCAUCUCAAGCAGGUGGCAGGCUGAGGCAGGAUAAGGCACGAGGCUUAUCUGGAGCCAUGGGAUGAGUCAGGAGGAUGCGAGAGCCGCACUGGGGGCUGGAGCCUCCUUGCCAGCCUGCUGAAGGUACAGCUACCCCACUGCUCUGGGGCUGCUCAGCCAGCCCCCUCCUCCAGCAGCCACUGCCAGUGCCAGCCUCAUACCACAGAGUUCAGUCCUCAGCUGGGCUGAGACACGCGUCCUUGGGAGGCUGCUGCACACCAGAUCACCCAGAGCAACAUGGGUUAAAGCUACUGCUUUCCAGAGAGCCAGAGGGUUGUUACUCACCUGGAUCACUGCAGACACCUGACUUGCACUGCAGUCCCAGAAACACAUCAGCACGGUGGCAAGGAUGGCAAAUCACAGUGGGGAGGGAGAGCAGGAGCUUGGAAUGACCACCUCAAGCCAGAGCUGGCACCAGGGAAAGUGCAGCAUGGCCAGCCAUGGCCACGUGUGUUUCUGCGGACCUGGGAUACACUUUUAGGAGAACAUGUGUACAAUCCAAAACCCAAAUGGCAGCUAUGCCCUCCUCUGAAUCAAGCCCACCCAGGUUUGAGAGAAAGGCCAGGUUUUGCUGACUCAAGGCUUGAACCUGUCAGUGGGACUCACUGCUGUGGUCUCACCCACCUCCUGCUCUUCUGAGCCAUACUGUAUGCGAGUGAACUAUUCUUGGAACAACAGGGUUAAAUUAGAUUACUUAAUAGGUACUAAAAAUGCCACAUAAUUUAAUAGGAAUGAAAAGUGUUUGUUACAAUUUGGUAGAAGUCAAGCUGUCUGACACAUUUUGAUAUGUAAAUUUGACUUUAAAUUUCUUUUUAAGUUCUUCUGGAGCGUACUUUAAAUAUAGAGUGUCUCUGCUUAUUAUGAUCAGAUUAACAACUAAAAUAAGUGUUCUUUUCUACCUAAAGAUCAGCUAUUUCCUUAAUGUUUAGUUAGUUGUUCAUGCUGCUUUUUCAAAAUUCAGGCUCAAAUUCCCCAUUUGUAUAUAAUUUCAGUUUAUGAACCUACAUUUAAAUAUCUGGAUUUCUCUAAAGAGACAGAAGUACAGAGAAGUUUUGUUUGGUCUUCUUUUAAAAUUUAAACACUUUGAAGCUCUGCAGUUUCUACCUUAGUG